This is a long non-coding RNA of Cyanistes caeruleus (blue tit), 1555 nucleotides long. NCBI's taxonomy places the organism in Eukaryota, Metazoa, Chordata, Aves, Passeriformes, Paridae. The record is from Ensembl.
UGUCCCCAUGUCCCCAUGUCCCCGUGUCCCCAUGUCCCCGUGUCCCCAUAUCCCCAUGUCCCCAUGUCCCCAUGUCCCCAUGUCCCCAUGUCCCCGUGUCCCCAUAUCCCCGUGUCCCCGUGCCACACCCGUGUCCCCAGGCUGAUGUCACAGCGACGUCCCCAGGUCACUUUGCUGUCCCCACGCAGGGAUCACGUUCCUGUCGGGGGGUCAGAGCGAGGAGGAGGCGUCUCUGAACCUCAACGCCAUCAACCGCUGCCCGCUGCCGCGGCCCUGGGCGCUGACCUUCUCCUACGGCCGCGCCCUGCAGGCCUCGGCCCUCAAGGCCUGGGGCGGCAAGAAGGACAACACCAAGGCGGCCCAGGAGGAGUACGUGAAGAGAGCACUGGCCAACUCCCUGGCGUGCCAGGGCAAGUACACCCCGAGUGGCACAGCGGGAGCGGCCGCCAGCGAGUCCCUGUUCGUGUCCAACCACGCCUACUGACCACUGACCACCGCCUGCUGCCCAGUGACCCCAGUGCCCCCUGCCCCAGCCCUGCCCCAGCCCUGCAGUAAAAGGUCGCGGGUGAACUCACAAGGCUUCGUUGGGAGUUUUUUUGGGGGGACUUUUGGAAGCGAAAUUUGGGGGGUCUGGGGUGGGGUUUGGGAUGUUUUAGUCCCAAAUUUCCCAGAAUCAUGGAAUCAAUCCCAGAAUCCCAGAAUCAACCCCAAAAUCAGAGAAUCACAGAGUCCCAAAACACAGAAUCCCAGAAAUCCAGAAUCAAUCCCAGAAUCCCAGAUUCAAUCCCAGAACCACAGAAUCCCAAAUUCACGGAAUCCCAGAAUCAAUCCCAAAAUCAGAGAAUCCCAGAAUCCCAAAACACAGAAUCCCAGAAAUCCAGAAUCAAUCCCGGAACCACCAAGGUGGGAAGAGACCUCCGAGACCACAGAGUCCAGCCUGGCCCUGACACCACAGCGGCCCCGUGGCGCUGAGAGCUGCAUCCCAAAUAUCCCAGUGAUUGACACAUCCCGAAUAUCCCGGAGUGAUUGACACAUCCCCAAUAUCCCACAGUGAUUGACACAUCCCGAAUAUCCCAGUGAUUGACACAUCCCCAAUAUCCCACAGUGAUUGACACAUCCCCAAUAUCCCACAGUGAUUGACACAUCCCCAAUAUCCCAGUGAUUGACACAUCACUGACCACACUGACCACUGCCCACACUCACCAGAGUGACCACUGACCAAAGUGACCACUGCCCACACUCACCAGAGUGACCACACUGACCACUGACCCACACAAAUCUCCCAUAGAAACCCCCCUCCUGACCCUGUCCGCACUCUGGACCUAUCCCCAUCCCUUUGCCCACAAAUUCUGGGAUUUCGGGUCAUUCUGGGCCCCUUUUCCCUCUAUUUCGGGUGCCGGCGUUCAUUUCUGGAACAUUUUCCACGCCCCAUUUCCAGCCCCGCCUUUCCCGGGACUUUAUUCUCCCAAUUUUGGCCAUUCCGGGUAUUUCGGACUCCCCUUCCACAGGGAUUUUAUCUUUUCGGGUGGUUUUGGGUCCCUUUCCGCUCAAUUUU